GACGAACGCUGGCGGCGUGCUUAACACAUGCAAGUCGAACGGAAAGGCCCUGCUGUUGUGGGGUGCUCGAGUGGCGAACGGGUGAGUAACACGUGAGUAACCUGCCCUUGACUUUGGGAUAACUUCAGGAAAAUGGGGCUCAUACCGGAUAGGAGCUCCUGCUGCAUGGUGGGGGUUGGAAAGUUUCGGCGGUUGGGGAUGGACUCGCGGCUUAUGCGCUUGUUGGUGGGGUAGUGGCUUACCAAGGCUUUGACGGGUAGCCGGCCUGAGAGGGUGACCGGCGACAUGGGGACUGAGAGACGGCCCAGACUCCUACGGGAGGCAGCAGUGGGGAAUAUUGCACAAUGGGCGGAAGCCUGAUGCAGCAACGCUGCGUGCGGGAUGACGGCCUUCGGGUUGUAAACCGCUUUCGCCUGUGACGAAGCGUGAGUGACGGUAAUGGGUAAAGAAGCACCGGCUAACUACGUG
Molecule: ribosomal RNA, 468 nt
Filed under: uncultured bacterium
Lineage: Bacteria
Description: partial 16S ribosomal RNA
Rfam family: Bacterial small subunit ribosomal RNA
Source: RNAcentral